This 642-nucleotide long non-coding RNA is filed under the name Danio rerio (zebrafish). Its description in RNAcentral is "lncRNA si:dkey-220a11.5 (ENSDARG00000105304.2)". The record is from RNAcentral. Lineage: Eukaryota; Metazoa; Chordata; Actinopteri; Cypriniformes; Danionidae.
UGUGCCUUAUUCGAGAAGAAUUUUGGAGCCUUGGAUUGUUGAGGGACAUGGACUCGCAUGGCAAGGACAUAUACAUUGAGGACUUUUAUGUUGUCCCUGUGUGGAAAGAAACUCCUAACAACAUUGUUACUGGAUUACCGGAAAAUUGCUUACCAAGUGGAUCAUGGGACAUGGUCUGAAAAGACUGGAUAUGAUUUUCCAGCUUUGCCACGUCAGACAAGAGGGAAUGAUUGCGGUGUUUUUGUACUCAUGUACACCCUCUCAAUGGUGUGUGGCAUUGGGUUUCAAUUCCAGGAGAUGGAUAUACCUAUCAUCCGUCAGUGGUGGUGCCUUCUACUCAUGGAACAAUUUCAAACUGAUGGUAUAUCAUCGACUCGGUCCCAGUAACUCCCCUCGCUGGCCAGCAGAGGCCACCAUCUCCGGACUUUUAGCAUUACAUCAUCCAUCUACACUGAUUGCGCAUACACCUGAUUGGAAUCUGGCUAAUGACCCACGUACCUCUUAUAAGCCGCACUCAAACACUCGUUCAAGGCGAAGUCUUGUUUAGCCCCGGCCAGCAUUUCUGAGCAUUAUUUCCAGCCUGAUCUCCUGUGCACGACUCCAGCCUGUCUCUUACUUUGCUUCGCCUUCUGCCUGCCCACG